This is a non-coding RNA of Tinamus guttatus (white-throated tinamou), 1978 nucleotides long. NCBI's taxonomy places the organism in Eukaryota, Metazoa, Chordata, Aves, Tinamiformes, Tinamidae. The record is from RefSeq and is a predicted model, not a curated record.
GGUGACAACUGUUGAACCAUGGCAUUCCCCAAGAUCUGGUAUAUUGCAGCCCUUGGAUUUCUGCUGCCUUUUUCUUAUGCCCAUACGGACUUCUUCACUUCCAUUGGUCAUAUGACAGACUUAAUUAAUACAGAAAAAGAUCUGGUAAUAUCACUGAAAGAUUAUAUCAAGGCAGAGGAGAGCAAGCUGGAGCAGAUCAAAAAAUGGGCAGAAAAAUUAGAUAAGCUGACAGAUACGGCUACAAAAGACCCCGAAGGAUUUUUGGGCCAUCCUGUAAAUGCAUUCAAGUUGAUGAAACGGCUUAACACGGAGUGGAGUGAGCUGGAGAACCUGGUUCUGAAGGACAUGUCGGAUGGCUUUAUCUCCAACAUGACUAUCCAGCGGCAGUUUUUCCCAAAUGAUGAGGAUCAGACUGGUGCUGCGAAAGCUCUCCUGCGGCUCCAGGACACAUACAAUUUGGAUACAGACACCCUCUCCAGAGGCAAUCUUCCAGGUGUAAAGCACAAGUCGUUCCUAACGGCUGAAGACUGCUUUGAGCUGGGCAAGAUUGCCUAUACUGAGGCCGACUACUACCACACGGAGCUGUGGAUGGAGCAAGCUCUGAAGCAGCUGGAUGAGGGCGAGGUCUCUUCCGCAGACAAAGUCUACGUUUUAGACUACCUGAGCUACGCCGUGUACCAGCAAGGGGAUCUGAGCAAAGCGGUGACGCUCACCAAGCGCCUCCUGGAACUGGAUCCUGAACAUCAAAGAGCAAAUGGGAACAUGAAAUAUUUUGAAUAUAUCAUGGCUAAAGAAAAAGAAGCAAAUAAAUCUACUACGGAAUCGGAAGACCGGGCGGAGAAGGAAACUGAGGUUAAGAAAAAGGACUACCUGCCUGAGAGAAGGAAGUACGAAAUGCUGUGCCGUGGGGAGGGGCUCAAAAUGACCCCACGGAGGCAAAAAAGACUCUUCUGCCGCUACUACGAUGGAAACAGGAACCCUCGGUACAUCCUGGGUCCUGUCAAACAGGAAGAUGAGUGGGACAAGCCCCGAAUCGUUCGGUUCCUUGAUAUCAUCUCCGACGAAGAGAUCGAAACUGUGAAAGAGCUCGCGAAGCCCAGGCUGAGCCGAGCUACUGUGCAUGACCCUGAGACUGGGAAACUGACCACAGCCCAUUACAGAGUCUCUAAGAGUGCUUGGUUGUCUGGCUAUGAAAGCCCCGUGGUCUCUCGCAUUAACACAAGGAUACAGGACCUAACAGGCCUUGAUGUCUCCACGGCUGAGGAGCUGCAGGUAGCCAACUACGGCGUAGGAGGCCAGUAUGAGCCUCAUUUUGACUUUGGAAGGGUAAGUCCUAUUUUCUGUCUCGUCCCUUUCUUCUUCACACGCGCUGUGUUUCUCUUUUUCAGGUGGCAAAUUAUGGAGUGGGAGGACAGUAUGAGCCCCACUUUGACUUUGCACGGAAAGACGAGCCAGAUGCUUUUAAGGAAUUGGGAACAGGCAACCGAAUUGCUACUUGGUUGUUUUAUAUGAGCGAUGUGUCAGCAGGGGGAGCUACCGUCUUCCCUGAAGUAGGAGCCAGUGUGUGGCCUAGAAAGGGCACAGCUGUAUUCUGGUACAACCUCUUCCCCAGCGGAGAAGGCGACUACAGCACACGGCAUGCAGCCUGCCCAGUACUAGUCGGAAACAAAUGGGUAUCCAAUAAAUGGCUCCACGAACGGGGACAGGAAUUCCGAAGACCGUGCACGUUAUCAGAGCUGGAAUGAUGCAGACUCCUCCUCCUUCUCUUCUGUUUUCCAUUUGUGUAAAAUGCACAGAUCUCCUACAGUUUACAAUUGACUAACACUCCACUACAGGUUCAGUCUUCAACUACACCAGUGUUUCAUCUGUGGACAAAACAAACAUGCUUUAGUUCCCUCUAAAAUACCCCUUCAUGGUUUUAUACACAGAAUAUAUUGAUUUUGAAGGUCUAAGAGUGUUGCAGAAAAAAAAAAAGGGA